This 200-nucleotide ribosomal RNA is filed under the name uncultured bacterium. Its description in RNAcentral is "partial 16S ribosomal RNA". It matches the Rfam family "Bacterial small subunit ribosomal RNA", at positions 8 to 224 of the family's 1533-position model. The record is from RNAcentral.
AGAGUUUGAUCCUGGCUCAGAAUCAACGCUGGCGGCGCGCUUAACACAUGCAAGUCGCACGAGAAAGGGAGCAAUCCUAAGUAAAGUGGCGUACGGGUGAGUAACACGUGGAUCAUCUACCUCUUGGUGGGGAAUACCCCCGGGAAACUGGGGACAAUUCCGCAUAAGUUCGUGAGAAGAAAGCCGAAAGGCGCCGGGAG